Molecule: ribosomal RNA, 124 nt
Filed under: uncultured bacterium
Lineage: Bacteria
Description: partial 16S ribosomal RNA
Source: RNAcentral
GCCGGAGCUUCUUCUGCGGGUACUGUCAUUAUCAUCCCCGCUGAAAGAGUUUUACAACCCUAAGGCCUUCAUCACUCACGCGGCAUCGCUGGAUCAGGGUUGCCCCCAUUGUCCAAUAUUCCCC